RNAcentral lists this ribosomal RNA (406 nucleotides) under uncultured bacterium. RNAcentral's name for it is "partial 16S ribosomal RNA". It matches the Rfam family "Bacterial small subunit ribosomal RNA", at positions 29 to 526 of the family's 1533-position model. The record is from RNAcentral.
AUUGAACGCUGGCGGCAGGCCUAACACAUGCAAGUCGAGCGAGCGGCGGACGGGUGAGUAAUGUCUGGGAAACUGCCUGAUGGAGGGGGAUAACUACUGGAAACGGUAGCUAAUACCGCAUACCAUCAGAUGUGCCAAGCUGGGAUUAGCUAGUAGGUGGGGUAACGGCUCACCUAGGCGACGAUCCCUAGCUGGUCUGAGAGGAUGACCAGCCCCACUGGAACUGUGACACGGUCCAGACUGCUCCGGGAGGCAGCAGUGGGGAAUAUUGCACGAUGGGCGCAGGCCUGAUGCAGCCAUGCCGCAAGUGUGAAGAAGGCCUUCGGGUUGUAAAGCGCUGUCAGCGGGAAGGCGUUACCCGCAGAAGAAGCACCGGCUAACUCCGUGCCAGCAGCCGCGGUAAUAC